UGGUGGAGUGAUUUGUCUGGUUAAUUCCGUUAACGAACGAGACCACGGUGUGCUAACUAGUGUGCGCUAUCUCGUAUAGCGACAUGCUUCUUAGACAGACUAUUGCUGUCCUAGGCAAUGGAAGUUCGUGGCAAUAACA
Molecule: ribosomal RNA, 139 nt
Filed under: uncultured eukaryote
Lineage: Eukaryota
Description: partial 18S ribosomal RNA
Rfam family: Eukaryotic small subunit ribosomal RNA
Source: RNAcentral